This 2790-nucleotide ribosomal RNA is filed under the name Triticum aestivum (bread wheat). Its description in RNAcentral is "partial small subunit ribosomal RNA". Lineage: Eukaryota; Viridiplantae; Streptophyta; Magnoliopsida; Poales; Poaceae. The record is from RNAcentral.
AUGGGGGACCUGGCCUCCACCUGCAAGGACAAGCUUGCCUACUUCAGGAUCAAGGAGCUCAAGGACGUGCUCAUCCACCUCUCCCUCCCCAAGCACGGCAAGAAGCAGGACCUCGUCGACAGGAUCCUCGCCCUGCUCUCCGACGACCAAGCCCAAUGGCACCUUGGUCGAGGGAGGAAGAACGCUCCCAGCAAGGAGGCGGUGCUCAAAAUAGUCGACGACAUAUACAGCAGGAAGAUGCAAGUCCACGGUCCUCCUGACCUCGUGGUAUCUCCUGCUCAGAGCCAGCUGCCUGUCACGCCGGAUUUCAACCGCAUCAUCAAAGCUAAAAAGGAACAAUUGGGCCCUGACUCUGGCUGCCUUUGUGGUCAAUCCUUUGUUCUCGGGAAUGUGGUCAAGUGCGACGAUUGCCAGGUCCAGCAGCAUAUCGACUGUGUGCUGAUUCCAGAGAAGCCUGCAGUGGGUGUCAGACCUGAAGCUCCAGAGCAUUACUUUUGUCAGUUGUGCCGACUAAUCCGAGCAGACCCAUAUUGGAUUACUACUGGAAAUCCUUUACUACCUGUGAGACUGAUUACAAAUGAUGGAGUGAAUGUUCCUCAGAGUGUGGAGAGAACUUUUCUACUUACUCGAGCUGAGAGGGAGACUGUUCAGAGAGUGGAAUAUGAUAUUCAGGUUUGGUGUAUGCUUCUGAACGACAAAGUUCAGUUCAGGAUGCACUGGCCUCAGAAUGCAGACUUACAAGUGAACGGUAUACAAGUGCGAGUAGUUCCCAGGCCUAGCACUCAGUUACUAGGGAUUAAUGGACGGGAUGAUGGGCCGGUGAUAACAACCUUUUGCCGAGAAGGACAGAAUAAAAUAGUUUUAUCAAGUGAUGAUGCCCGACCAUUUUGUUUUGGGAUCAGAAUUGCAAAGAGGAGGACAGUUGACCAGGUUCUAAACUUGGUGCCAAAGGAAGCUGAUGGCGAGUCUUUUGAGGAUUCUCUUGCUCGUGUUUGUCGCUGUCUCAGAGGUGGAAAUACUACAGAUGAUGCUGACAGCGAUAGUGAUUUGGAAGUGGUUGCCGACUUCUUUCCUGUCAGCCUGCGUUGUCCUAAUAGUGGAUCCCGGAUAAGGACUGCGGGAAGGUUCAAGCCUUGUGCUCACAUGGGCUCUUUUGAUCUGCAAACUUUUGUAGAGCUGAAUCAACGGUCACGAAAGUGGCAAUGUCCAACAUGUCUGAAGAAUUAUUCUAUUGAGAGCUUGAUCAUUGAUCGGUAUUUCAACCGGAUCGCUUCUCUGGUUCGGAAUUGCGGUGAAGAUGUCACUGAGAUAGAUGUGAAGCCUGAUGGCUCUUGGCGUGUGAAGGGUGAUGUUGAAGAUAUAAAAUUGUCCCUGUGGCACCUGCCUGACGGUUCCCUGUGUGAACUGAAACAAGACGCUAAACCUGUUGCUGGUGAUGUAAAAUCUGAAGCUUCAAGAAUUGGCAGCAAGGGAAAUCUAGGCCUUAAUGGAUUGUGGGAAGCUAGUAAAGCUGUUGACAUAAAGCCCUCAAAGCCUAUGAGCAGUAGCCACACUGGAAUUUACAGGGAUGGGGACUACCUAAGUGUGAGUGAGUGCAGCACGCAAAUUGGUGAGAUGUACAGAGUUGAUGAUAGACUACAGCAACAGCUCGAAGAUGCAGAUGUCAUUGUUCUCAGCGACUCCGAUGAUGACAAUGUUGUGACAGUGUCUCCACCAGCUGCCUAUAGUGAUGUUGGUGGUUUGGGAUUUGCUCCCAUUUCUGCGCCAGGAGUUGCUGAAAGUUACCAGGAGGGUGGUGUAGUUGGGGGCCUUGGCCUUGAUUUGUUCAACGACAACAGCGAUAUUUUUGACAUAACUUCCUGGUCUGCGCAACCCCAACCAGAGCAAGGGUUCAAUUUUUUCGGAGCUGAUGUUCUACUUGGUUCUCACAAUUCAUCUGAUGCAGCGCCAAGUGCUUAUACCCUUGGCUGCCACGCUGGCUCUAGUGACACUUCCAUGGUUCGAGAUCCUUCUACCUGCCAUGUACGCACCAGAAGCUUGGUCGAUAACCUGUUGCCUUUCGGCAAUGAUGAUUCUUCUCUGCGGAUUUUUCUUCCUAUUCAACCAUCUGGCGUUCCCGUUCAGGAAGAACGGAAUGGACAUGACAACAUGUCAAAUGGGGUCCAGCCUGUUGAUGACGAUGAAGACGAAGAUUGGAUAUCUCUUACACUUGCGGCGGGUGGAGGUAGUAAUGAACAGUCUGAGGCAGCAGAUACGGUGAGCACACAAGCACAAAUCGCAGUGGAAGAGAGAAGGAUGGAACCAGCAGACACGCUGAACCCACAAGCACAAAUGACGGUGGAAGAGACAAGGAUGGAACCAGCAGAUGUGUUGAACCCGCAAGCGCAAAUUGCAGUGGAAGAGACAAGGAUAGAACCAGCAGAUGCGUUGAACCCACAAGCACAGAUUGCAGUGGAAGAGAGGACGGAACCAGCAGAUGCGUUGAGCCCACAAGCACAAGUUACAGUGGAAGAGAGAAGGAUGGAACCAGCAGACAUUGUUAACCCACAAGCGCAAAUUGCAGUGGAAGAAAGAAGAAUGGAACCGGCAGAGACGUCGAACCGACAAGCACAAGCACAGAUUGCACUGGAAGAGAGAAGGAUGGAACCAUUGAGUGAUGCUGAAGGCUCGCCUCCCAGCUUGAAUGAUGAGAGGCGUAACAAAGGGAAUUCAAAAACAAGGGCUGAAAAGAUAUUUUCUCCUCCGCGGCAGCCUCGAUCCGUCAGGCCUCGACUAACGACACAGCAGUGA